GCCAGUGUGGUGCAGUUGUUUGAGCAUUGCACUAUAACUCUGGAGACCAGGGUUCAAAUUCCGGCUUGGCCA
RNAcentral lists this transfer RNA (72 nucleotides) under Phrynosoma platyrhinos (Desert horned lizard). RNAcentral's name for it is "tRNA-OTHER". Lineage: Eukaryota; Metazoa; Chordata; Lepidosauria; Squamata; Phrynosomatidae. The record is from RNAcentral.